Molecule: long non-coding RNA, 658 nt
Organism: Heterocephalus glaber (naked mole-rat)
Lineage: Eukaryota; Metazoa; Chordata; Mammalia; Rodentia; Bathyergidae
Source: Ensembl
CUUUUUAUGGAAGUAAGCCCAGGGGCAGGCUCCCAGUUCAACUGGUGGCAGGAAACUCUCAGUACCAACAAGGAUCUAUGUUGCCUGUGUGCUCAGGUGCUGAGGAUACUGUGGUGAACAGCAUACCUAGGAAGGCAGGACCACCAAAAUGCACUGCGGUGAGAGGGAUGAAGAGGAAGAUCCAAGCAGACAGUAUGAUUCAUUUAUGGCUUGCUACUACCAGUCAAGUCCUGUGCCAGAUUGUGAAUGAAGUUGGGACACAAAUGGACCUACUGGGUGCUAGAACAGAUGCAAAAGCCCAUCAAAGCUUUUCCCGAGAGCCCAGGGUCAGCAGAAACCCAGCCUUACAGACACACUUUUUAGAGCUCUUGACAUUUCCUCAAAGAAAGAACGGUCCUCUGUCUUUGAAGAUUGACAUUCUCUGGCACCAAGCGGGAAUACUGCUAGCAAAUCUUUUCCCUUUCUUAAAGUAGCUGUAAAAAGGAUGAUUAAACCAUAGAAAUGGGAGCAUCACUGAAAAAAAGAAGUUUUGUAAAGAUCAGCAUGGUGCAGUUCAGAGUGUUUAGGAUCUAUCAGUAUCUGGAAUCAGCAGAUACAGGUUCAAAAUCAUUCUGUAAAUGUUCCACCACUGGAAAACUUUCAAAAUAUCAGACAGCCA